This 364-nucleotide unclassified non-coding RNA is filed under the name Rhizoclonium sp. K39. Its description in RNAcentral is "sequence contains ITS2". The stretch from base 1 to 113 matches the Rfam family "5.8S ribosomal RNA", at positions 42 to 154 of the family's 154-position model. The record is from RNAcentral. Lineage: Eukaryota; Viridiplantae; Chlorophyta; Ulvophyceae; Cladophorales; Cladophoraceae.
AACGCAGCAAAGCGCGAUAGGUAGUGUGAAUUGCAGAAUUCCGUGAAUCAUCGAAUUUUUGAACGCAUAUUGCGCCCUAGAUCUCGGUCUUGGGCAUGUCUGCCUCAGCGUCGUUUUCAAUGGUUUACCGACAAUGUCUCUUGCCUGUCAUUAGGUGAGCAUGAGCUAAAACCUUGUACUCUUCGUGCUCAGCACGACGUGCAACAGUGGUCUUCCUCAACACUGUUCAUCGUGAGCAAGCUGCUUUUAUAGCAACCGCUAUUAUCGUGGACAGAUGGAUGAGGCUGAAAAAGGCCAGCUGUUACAACCAUUCGACCUGAGUUCAGGCAGGGCUACCCGCUGAACUUAAGCAUAUCAAUAAGCG